This is a non-coding RNA of Salmo salar (Atlantic salmon), 72 nucleotides long. NCBI's taxonomy places the organism in Eukaryota, Metazoa, Chordata, Actinopteri, Salmoniformes, Salmonidae. The record is from Rfam.
UCCCAUGUGGCUCAGUUGGUAGAGCAUGGUGUUUGCAACGCCAGGGUUGUGGGUUCGAUUCCCACGGGGGAC